AGAGUUUGAUCCUGGCUCAGGACGAACGCUGGCGGCGUGCCUAACACAUGCAAGUCGAGCGAAGUUAUUCCUUCGGGAAUAACUUAGCGGCGGACGGGUGAGUAACACGUGGGUAACCUGCCUUAUAGAGGGGGAUAGCCUUCCGAAAGGAAGAUUAAUACCGCAUAACAUUGAGCUUUCGCAUGGAAGCUUAAUCAAAGGAGUAAUCCGCUAUAAGAUGGACCCGCGGCGCAUUAGCUAGUUGGUGAGGUAACGGCUCACCAAGGCGACGAUGCGUAGCCGACCUGAGAGGGUGAUCGGCCACAUUGGGACUGAGACACGGCCCAGACUCCUACGGGAGGCAGCAGUGGGGAAUAUUGCACAAUGGGGGAAACCCUGAUGCAGCAACGCCGCGUGAGUGAUGAAGGCCUUCGGGUUGUAAAGCUCUGUCUUUGGGGACGAUAAUGACGGUACCCAAGGAGGAAGCCACGGCUAACUACGUGCCAGCAGCCGCGGUAAU
RNAcentral lists this ribosomal RNA (499 nucleotides) under uncultured bacterium. Its description in RNAcentral is "bacterial SSU rRNA". It matches the Rfam family "Bacterial small subunit ribosomal RNA", at positions 8 to 524 of the family's 1533-position model. The record is from RNAcentral.